RNAcentral lists this ribosomal RNA (434 nucleotides) under uncultured Clostridium sp. Its description in RNAcentral is "partial 16S ribosomal RNA". It matches the Rfam family "Bacterial small subunit ribosomal RNA", at positions 341 to 792 of the family's 1533-position model. The record is from RNAcentral. Lineage: Bacteria; Bacillati; Bacillota; Clostridia; Eubacteriales; Clostridiaceae.
ACGGAAGGCAGCAGUGGGGAAUAUUGCACAAUGGGGGAAACCCUGAUGCAGCGACGCCGCGUGAAGGAUGAAGUAUCUCGGUAUGUAAACUUCUAUCAGCAGGGAAGAUAAUGACGGUACCUGACUAAGAAGCCCCGGCUAACUACGUGCCAGCAGCCGCGGUAAUACGUAGGGGGCAAGCGUUAUCCGGAUUUACUGGGUGUAAAGGGAGCGUAGACGGCAAUGCAAGUCUGAAGUGAAAGCCCGUGGCUUAACUGCGGGACUGCUUUGGAAACUGCAUGGCUAGAGUGUCGGAGAGGUGAGUGGAAUUCCCAGUGUAGCGGUGAAAUGCGUAGAUAUUGGGAGGAACACCGGAGGCGAAGGCGGCUCACUGGACGAUCACUGACGUUGAGGCUCGAAAGCGUGGGGAGCAAACAGGAUUAGAUACCCUGGUA